Molecule: unclassified non-coding RNA, 352 nt
Filed under: soil metagenome
Description: partial contains 5.8S ribosomal RNA, internal transcribed spacer 2, and large subunit ribosomal RNA
Rfam family: 5.8S ribosomal RNA (bases 1-120)
Source: RNAcentral
GAUGAAGAACGCAGUGAAAUGCGAUAAGUAAUGUGAAUUGCAGAAUUCAGUGAAUCAUCGAAUCUUUGAACGCACAUUGCGCCCGCCAGUAUUCUGGCGGGCAUGCCUGUUCGAGCGUCAUUACAACCCUCAGGCCCCCGGGCCUGGCGUUGGGGAUCGGCGGAGCCCCCCGUGGGCACACGCCGUCCCCCAAAUGCAGUGGCGGUCCCGCCGCAGCUUCCAUCGCGUAGUAGCUAACACCUCGCGACUGGAGAGCGGCGAGGCCACGCCGUAAAACACCCAACUCUUCUGAAGUUGACCUCGAAUCAGGUAGGAAUACCCGCUGAACUUAAGCAUAUCAAUAAGCGGAGGA